Molecule: ribosomal RNA, 251 nt
Filed under: uncultured bacterium
Lineage: Bacteria
Description: partial 16S ribosomal RNA
Rfam family: Bacterial small subunit ribosomal RNA
Source: RNAcentral
GCGCUGACGAGUGGCGGACGGGUGAGUAACGCGUAGGAAUCUGCCUUAUAGUGGGGGACAACGUGGGGAAACCCACGCUAAUACCGCAUACGCCCUACGGGGGAAAGGAGGGGAUCUUCGGACCUUUCGCUAUGAGAUGAGCCUGCGUUGGAUUAGCUAGUUGGUAGGGUAAAGGCCUACCAAGGCGACGAUCCAUAACUGGUCUGAGAGGAUGAUCAGUCACACUGGUACUGAGACACGGACCAGACUCC